RNAcentral lists this ribosomal RNA (252 nucleotides) under uncultured bacterium. Its description in RNAcentral is "partial 16S ribosomal RNA". It matches the Rfam family "Bacterial small subunit ribosomal RNA", at positions 524 to 776 of the family's 1533-position model. RNAcentral also lists the same sequence under 1 other name. The record is from RNAcentral.
UACGUAUGUCGCAAGCGUUAUCCGGAUUUAUUGGGCGUAAAGCGCGUCUAGGCGGCUUAGUAAGUCUGAUGUGAAAAUGCGGGGCUCAACCCCGUAUUGCGUUGGAAACUGCUAAACUAGAGUACUGGAGAGGUAGGCGGAACUACAAGUGUAGAGGUGAAAUUCGUAGAUAUUUGUAGGAAUGCCGAUGGGGAAGCCAGCCUACUGGACAGAUACUGACGCUAAAGCGCGAAAGCGUGGGUAGCAAACAGG